RNAcentral lists this ribosomal RNA (406 nucleotides) under uncultured bacterium. RNAcentral describes it as "partial 16S ribosomal RNA". It matches the Rfam family "Bacterial small subunit ribosomal RNA", at positions 30 to 526 of the family's 1533-position model. The record is from RNAcentral.
AUUGAACGCUGGCGGAAGGCCUAACACAUGCAAGUCGAGCGAGCGGCGGACGGGUGAGUAAUGUAUGGGAAACUGCCUGAUGGAGGGGGAUAACUACUGGAAACGGUAGCAAAUACCGCAUACCAUAAGAUGUGCGAAGAUGGGAUUAGCUAGUAGGUGGGGUAACGGCUCACCUAGGCGCCGAGCCCUAGCUGGUCUGAGAGGAUGACCAGCCCCACUGGAACUGAGACACGGUCCAGACUCCUACGGGAGGCAGCAGUGGGGAAUAUUGCACAAUGGUCGCAAGCCUGAUGCAGCCAUGCCGCGUGUGUGAAGAAGGCCUUCGGGUUGUAAAGCACUUUCAGCGGGGAGGCGUUACCCGCAGAAGAAGCACCGGCUAACUCCGUGCCAGCAGCCGCGGUAAUAC